AUGGAAAUCCUGAAAAACUCACACGUACCAGGGACCAUACUGAACUCCAGAAUGGAGAUUUUCGGACCAUGCUUGCUUUUCAGGAGAUUCCUGUUAGUGUUUUGGGAACCGCAUAAUAGCGGUAAUAGUGGUAUUAACGAUAAUUACACCACAGCUAGAUAUUGAUUGCUGAUGAGAGUGGGAGAUAACCCCUUACCUUUUACCCUCAUAGCUGACAGGGGCAUAGCAGAAGGAGGACAACACAGACGGUAGCCGAUGACCAGUAGUAAAGGGAGAUAAUCCCCAUUGUUUUGUAUCUGUAUCAUUUUCCCCUUCAUAUUUUAAAAAGGACAUUGGCCAACAGGUUAUAGGGUCUGAAGAUACACCUUAUGGCUGGAAACCCAGGGUAACCCUAUAAACCAGCCUUCACCAGUAAUUAAUAUAUAUAUAUAUAUAUAUAUAUAUAUAUAUAUAUGAACGAGGUAUAGACAGUAACAGCACCACAAUGUGAAGUAUAUUUGCCAUCUCAAUAUGGCCACCCACUAAGGUGGGUGUUACUAAGGUGGGUGUUACUAAGGUGGGUGUUACUGUAGCUUGUUGCCCCAAGAGAACAUCUCCAGCUGGCUAUUGACACACUUUCUGUUUUCGAUGGAAGGGUCCCAAUACAAAUAUUUAUAUCCUUUUUCCAGUGACUUUUCGUCACUGAUCUUGAAAAAGUGUAAAGAAGCAAUAAUAAAUCUCUGAACGAGGUAUAGACAGUAACUGCACCACAAUGUGAGGUAUAUUUGUUAUCUCAAUAUGGCUAACCACUAAGGGUGGGUGUUACUGUAGCUUGUAGCCCCAGGAGAACAUCUCCUCCAGCUGGCUAUAGGUACACUUUCUGUGCCCUAUCGGUAUUUGCAAAGGGAGGUCAUCCUUCCCUCGUUAACCUAAGUGAUACGCACGGACUGCAGUUUCUGGGUCAUCAGCGUACGACAAUCACCGGUUUUCGAUGGAAGGGUCCCAAUGCAAAUAUUUAUAUCCUUUUUCCAGUAACUUUUCGUCACUGAUCUUGAAAAAGUGUACACAAGCAAUAAUAAAUCUCUGAACGAGGUAUAAACAGUAACUGCACCACAAUGUGAAGUAUAUUUGCCAUCUCAAUAUGGCUAACCACUA
RNAcentral lists this long non-coding RNA (1134 nucleotides) under Octopus vulgaris (common octopus). Lineage: Eukaryota; Metazoa; Mollusca; Cephalopoda; Octopoda; Octopodidae. The record is from RNAcentral.